Molecule: non-coding RNA, 2795 nt
Organism: Camellia sinensis
Lineage: Eukaryota; Viridiplantae; Streptophyta; Magnoliopsida; Ericales; Theaceae
Source: RefSeq, a predicted model, not a curated record
UUAUUCAUGUUUUUUUUGUAGUUUUAGAAAUCAUGCUUUGGGGGAUAGGUUCUUCUCAAAUACAACUUUUUUAGGAAUGUUUUAGUUGUUCUUAACAAUUAUGUGCAUCAAUAGUUUAUAUAAUGGUAGUUCAUUAAUUUCACGUAUUAAAGGACUGCUUGUUUGGUUACUGGUUAUGUAAAUUCCCAAUCUUGGAAACGAUUAUUUCAGUCAUUCGAGGAGCUUAGUAAGUUAUAUUCGCUGGAAAUGACUAUUUUUAGAAGUCUAAAUAUUAUAUAGUUUCAAUUUUGGUUUGGUACAUGCAAUAGUUUAUAUAAUGAUCCUUGGCUUGCUCACCAUAGUUUUCUUGUUAGUUUACUCAUCAAAACUUUAAUCUUUAGCAAUAGUUUGUUGGGUUGACUCUGCAUGACUAUCUUGGUUUGAUCCUUAUCCAUCUUGCCUUCCUUGGGUGUUGGUUUAACAUGCCAUGAUAAUGUACUAACAUUUCUUUUAUCAUAUAACUUUUUGGCUCGACCUUAUUUCUUACCAAUUUGAUUCAUCAAUAGGAACGAUAUUUUCCUCAACAGAUACAGUGUGUACACUACAGGUUCUACAUCAAGAUGAGACUCCUUUGCAUUACAGUCUAGUCUUCUCUCUGAGCUCAAAGUUGAUGGUUCUAUGCUUAGUUCUGGAAAUCUGCUAUCCAGUUUUGUGCCCAUCCAUUUUUGUUCAUUAUCCUUUGCUAUUCUAUAUUAUUUUCGCUGUUAUUGAUUGUGUGCCUUUCUUCUCCACCCUCAACCUCACAUACAAUGUCUUUUUAAUUAUCAUGUCAUAUGAGAAUCUGUGUUAGUUUCAGUCUUUGCUUGACCUCAGUUCUUACAAUUUGACCUGUAAAUACAGUUUCUGCACUUCGAUUACAGAACAUCUUAUGGGAUAAUGAUGUGAAAAGCACAAAGUACACUUUGAAGGAAAUGAUAAUGCAUUUUUCUUUCCUUGAACACCCGGACGGAAAGACUAUGAUUAAAUUUGAAACGUUGGCAAAUCUAGCUAAGUAUAUUAUUGUUUUUUUUUUUACUCUAGUUUGUUGUAAUAAAAUUUGUUAAUAUAAACACAAUUCCAUAUAAUUUGCCAAAUUUCUUGGAUGUUAUGAUUGCAUAAAUGCGGUACCACUCAUAUGAAGAGAUAUAGAUCAUAGUUAUUCUUGUGGUUGAUUUUCACUAAACUUAGUUCUGAUUUCUAACAAGUAAUCUUUGGUCAAAAUCAUGAUUCCCUUCAGCUUUGUUUUGCGGGUGAUCUUCUAAUGGAGUUGGGUGCUGGGAGAGUUGGCAACUACAACUGUGCCACACCUUUUUCUACCUUUAGCUUGUGCUACCAAUGUGGCCAAGGUUCAACCCUUCUCUGUCUCUCAUUUUCUGGGUGAUACGGUGAUCAUUGCUCAUAAAUGCCCUGGCCAUCAUUUUGUCAAACUGUUACAUAUGAUGUCCACUGUUGUUUUGAUGGUGUGAGUAAGCCCUGCUUUGGCAGCAAUCAGUGGUUCAACAAGUAUAAUUGAAACAUAAACCACUGAUUUUGAGUUCUUUGUUGCUAGUAAAUACUAAAUAGUAAUAAAUAUAGUCACUCUUUAAUAGUUCUUUGAGUUCUUUGUUUCAGCAUCAGCAAGUUUUGUUGGAUUGCCAUUGAAUUGAAGGAUUUUGGAUACUUCUUGAGUUGGGGAGAUUUUUGCAAGUUUUUCGAGUAUAUCAGAAUUAAGGCCUCGACCCUCAAGGAGGGCAUCAAGGAUUUCUUUCCGAGAUACUGCAAGAGAUCUAAGUACUAUUGCUGUGUUUUGGGAUUUCCGAGGCUCAAGGAUAAAGAUUUGAGCAGGUGGAACAGAGCUGGAACUAAUUGAACUUGAAAUUUUACUGCUUUCAAGAGAUCUGUGAUUGGUGGCAUUGUAUCCAAAUAGAGCUUCCAUAAGAUCAUCAUCAAAUCUAAAGAACACAGAAGACCAAUAACAAGGAACACAAUGUCAAUUAUCAGACGGAUAGUAAAGAAGAAAAAAAACAUGAAUAUGUGGUUAAAUUCAAGGCCUCAUUUACCGGAAAGAUCCAUCAUUGAUCUCAUCCCAGACCACUGAAUGAUCAGCAUUAGCUAUAACCUUGUCCCAGUGUAGUGGCUUCAGUUUUAUCCCUUUUGUGCUUUCUCCAUUGGGAGCCUCUACCCUACUAUUGAUGCUUGUAUUUCCCCUUGGUACAUGAGAGGGUUUCAUUGAUGAAACCAAACCACCAGUCCCAGGUGGUGGAGGUAGUGGUGCAGGAUUUCUCUUUGCUGAAGUUGGUAAUGGAUGAGGUGGUGGUGUGGUGGUGGUGGUGGUGGAGGAGGCUGAGGAGGUUGUGGUGGUUGAGGGGGGCAUAAUGGUUGUGGUGGUGUCACAAUGGGUGAAGGAAUAAGUGGAGCUGGUUUUGCCACUUUGGCAAUAUCAGCCAUAUUACGUGGCUCAUGAAGCAAUGGGAUUUCCUGAAUUCUUUCAGAGUUCUUGAGUUUAUCUCCUCUAGUAUAAAUCCUCUUUUCUUCUUCUUCAUCUUCUUCUUCCAUUGAAAUUGGAUUUACCCAAACUUUAGAGAAACAACUCAUGAGGUGUUUUUGUUCAAGUUUUCUCAAAUAAAGAACAUCCAACCCAUUCUUAUCAACAAUUAGUCCUUUCAGAGUUCCUCCUAGUUCUCUGAACUCUUGAUGACUCACCACCACUGUUUCUUCUCGACGAAAACUUGAAUCAAAUUUCUCUCUGUGAUACUAUUGAGCUAAGGCUAAUUUGUGGAAGAGCAAGAACAAGAUCC